RNAcentral lists this transfer-messenger RNA (139 nucleotides) under Gammaproteobacteria bacterium. RNAcentral's name for it is "partial transfer-messenger RNA". It matches the Rfam family "transfer-messenger RNA", at positions 230 to 374 of the family's 374-position model. From Rfam's summary of the family: Bacterial tmRNA, also known as 10Sa RNA or SsrA, is named for its dual tRNA and mRNA-like properties. Its role is to liberate the mRNA from a stalled ribosome. The record is from RNAcentral. Lineage: Bacteria; Pseudomonadati; Pseudomonadota; Gammaproteobacteria.
UGGUUAAAACUAAUCAAGCUCGCUUUUGUACCCUGCUCCUCGGGUCACGAAAGUUAAAAAGCCAAUUGGGUGAGCUAUGCAUGUAGAAGUUAGGCUGAAAGAUUAGCGGACGCGGGUUCAAUUCCCGCCGCCUCCACCA